AGGAUGGCGGUUGUGUGACAGUUGACAUUUGAGGACGUGGCUGUGGAGUUUACACAGGAUGAGCGGCAGUGCCUGACCCUGACUCAGCGGGCUCUGUACAGG
Perognathus longimembris pacificus (Pacific pocket mouse) is the source of this 102-nucleotide long non-coding RNA. RefSeq lists it as uncharacterized. NCBI's taxonomy places the organism in Eukaryota, Metazoa, Chordata, Mammalia, Rodentia, Heteromyidae. The record is from RefSeq and is a predicted model, not a curated record. The transcript is spliced from 3 exons.